This 470-nucleotide ribosomal RNA is filed under the name uncultured bacterium. Its description in RNAcentral is "SSU rRNA". It matches the Rfam family "Bacterial small subunit ribosomal RNA", at positions 26 to 518 of the family's 1533-position model. The record is from RNAcentral.
AGGAUAAACGCUGGCGGCGUGCCUAACACAUGCAAGUCGAACGUCUCUUUCUUCGGGAAGAGGAGUGGCGGACGGGUGAGGAACACGUGGGAACCUGCCCUUUAGUGAGGAAUACCGGCGAGAAAUCGCCGACAAGACCGCAUAGCCCUCUUUGAUGAGAGUCAAAGAAGGAAAGCUUCGCAAGAGGCGCUAGAGGAGGGGCCUGCGUCCGAUUAGCUAGUUGGUGGGGUAAGAGCCUACCAAGGCGACGAUCGGUAGCUGGUCUGAGAGGACGAUCAGCCACACUGGGAUUGAGAACGGCCAGACUCCUACGGGGGCAGCAGUGAGGAAUUUUCCGCAAUGGGCGCAAGCCUGACGGAGCAACGCCGCGUGCAGGAAGACGGUUUUCGGAUCGUAAACUGCUUUCGUCGGGGACGAGAACGGACGGUACCCGAGGAAUCAGCCCCGGCUAACUACGUGCCAGCAGCCGC